Molecule: long non-coding RNA, 214 nt
Organism: Toxotes jaculatrix (banded archerfish)
Lineage: Eukaryota; Metazoa; Chordata; Actinopteri; Toxotidae
Exons: 3
Source: RefSeq, a predicted model, not a curated record
GUUAAAUCCUCCAUUGUUCAGUAAUGAACCUGAACCCUCAGACACAAAAGGUCAGGACCACAGACUGAGAGCAGAGUGUCCAGGAUCCAGCUGUCUGUCUAUGAAGAGAGCAAGGUACAAAGACUUUAAUCCUCCAGACUUUAGAAAUGAAUCUGGACCCUCAGACACAAAAUUUUCAGCAGAUAGUGGUCUGCAGGAGGUUUUAGAUGAACAU